Molecule: ribosomal RNA, 783 nt
Filed under: uncultured marine bacterium
Lineage: Bacteria
Description: bacterial SSU rRNA
Rfam family: Bacterial small subunit ribosomal RNA
Source: RNAcentral
UGAUCCUGGCUCAGAUUGAACGCUGGCGGCAGGCCUAACACAUGCAAGUCGAACGGUAGCAUAUCUUGCUUGCAAGAUGAUGACGAGUGGCGGACGGGUGAGUAAUACUUAGGAACAUGCCUUUGAGUGGGGGAUAACUAUUGGAAACGAUAGCUAAUACCGCAUAAUGUCUACGGACCAAAGGGGGCUUCGGCUCUCGCUCAGAGAGUGGCCUAAGCGAGAUUAGCUAGUUGGUGAGGUAAAGGCUCACCAAGGCGACGAUCUCUAGCUGUUCUGAGAGGAAGAUCAGCCACACUGGGACUGAGACACGGCCCAGACUCCUACGGGAGGCAGCAGUGGGGAAUAUUGCACAAUGGGGGGAACCCUGGUGCAGCCAUGCCGCGUGUGUGAAGAAGGCCUUCGGGUUGUAAAGCACUUUCAGUUGUGAGGAAAGGUUAGUAGUUAAUACCUGCUAGCUGUGACGUUAGCAACAGAAGAAGCACCGGCUAACUCCGUGCCAGCAGCCGCGGUAAUACGGAGGGUGCGAGCGUUAAUCGGAAUUACUGGGCGUAAAGCGCACGCAGGUGGUUUGUUAAGCUAGAUGUGAAAGCCCAGGGCUCAACCUUGGAAUAGCAUUUAGAACUGGCAGGCUAGAGUCUUGGAGAGGGGAGUGGAAUUCCAGGUGUAGCGGUGAAAUGCGUAGAGAUCUGGAGGAACAUCAGUGGCGAAGGCGACUCCCUGGCCAAAGACUGACACUCAUGUGCGAAAGUGUGGGUAGCGAACAGGAUUAGAUACCCUGGUAGU